This 441-nucleotide ribosomal RNA is filed under the name uncultured bacterium. RNAcentral describes it as "partial 16S ribosomal RNA". It matches the Rfam family "Bacterial small subunit ribosomal RNA", at positions 338 to 795 of the family's 1533-position model. The record is from RNAcentral.
CCUACGGGUGGCAGCAGUGGGGAAUAUUGCACAAUGGGGGAAACCCUGAUGCAGCGACGCCGCGUGAGUGAAGAAGUAUUUCGGUAUGUAAAGCUCUAUCAGCAGGGAAGAAGAAAGACGGUACCUGACUAAGAAGCCCCGGCUAACUACGUGCCAGCAGCCGCGGUAAUACGGAGGGGGCAAGCGUUAUCCGGAUUUACUGGGUGUAAAGGGAGGUUAGAGGGUUGUGCAAGUCUGAAGUGAAAGCCCAGGGCUCAACCCUGGGACUGCUGUGGAAACUGUGGGGCUCGAGUGGUGGAGAGGUAGGUGGAAUGCGUAGUGUAGCGGUGAAAUGCGUAGAUAUUAGGAAGAACACCGGUGGCGAAGGCAGCCUACUGGACUGCAACUGACGUUGAGGCCCGAAAGCGUGGGGAGCAAACAGGAUUAGAUACCCGAGUAGUC